GAUGAACGCUGGCGGCGUGCUUAACACAUGCAAGUCGAACGGAAAGGCCCAAGCUUGCUUGGGUACUCGAGUGGCGAACGGGUGAGUAACACGUGGGUGAUCUGCCCCGCACUUCGGGAUAAGCCUGGGAAACUGGGUCUAAUACCGGAUAGGACGGUGGUUUGGAUGCCAUUGUGGAAAGUUUUUUCGGUGUGGGAUGAGCUCGCGGCCUAUCAGCUUGUUGGUGGGGUAAUGGCCUACCAAGGCGUCGCCGGGUAGCCGGCCUGAGAGGGUGUACGGCCACAUUGGGACUGAGAUACGGCCCAGACUCCUACGGGAGGCAGCAGGGGGGAAUAUUGCACAAUGGGCGCAAGCCUGAUGCAGCGACGCCGCGUGGGGGAUGACGGCCUUCGGGUUGUAAACUCCUUUCGCUAGGGACGAAGCGUUAUGUGACGGUACCUAGAGAAGAAGCACCGGCUAACUACGUG
This 467-nucleotide ribosomal RNA is filed under the name uncultured bacterium. Its description in RNAcentral is "partial 16S ribosomal RNA". It matches the Rfam family "Bacterial small subunit ribosomal RNA", at positions 28 to 507 of the family's 1533-position model. The record is from RNAcentral.